Molecule: transfer RNA, 63 nt
Filed under: Chouioia cunea
Lineage: Eukaryota; Metazoa; Arthropoda; Insecta; Hymenoptera; Eulophidae
Description: tRNA-Cys
Source: RNAcentral
UAUUUAAUAGUUUAAUAAAAAUAUUAAAUUGCAAAUUUAAUGAUGAUUAAUAAUCUUAAAUAU